RNAcentral lists this ribosomal RNA (403 nucleotides) under bacterium. RNAcentral describes it as "partial 16S ribosomal RNA". It matches the Rfam family "Bacterial small subunit ribosomal RNA", at positions 355 to 776 of the family's 1533-position model. The record is from RNAcentral.
UGGGGAAUAUUGCACAAUGGAGGGAACUCUGAUGCUGCGACGCCGCGUGAACGAAGAAGGCUUUCGAGUCGUAAAGUUCUUUUAUAUGGGAAGAUAAUGACGGUACCAUAAGAAGAAGCCCCGGCUAACUACGUGCCAGCAGCCGCGGUAAUACGUAGGGGGCUAGCGUUGUCCGGAAUCACUGGGCGUAAAGGGUUCGCAGGCGGAAAUGCAAGUCAGGUGUAAAAGGCAGUAGCUUAACUACUGUAAGCAUUUGAAACUGCAUAUCUUGAGAAGAGUAGAGGUAAGUGGAAUUUUUAGUGUAGCGGUGAAAUGCGUAGAUAUUAAAAAGAAUACCGGUGGCGAAGGCGACUUACUGGGCUCAUUCUGACGCUGAGGAACGAAAGCGUGGGUAGCAAACAGG